This is a non-coding RNA of Podarcis lilfordi (Lilford's wall lizard), 109 nucleotides long. The record is from the annotation of a GenBank genome assembly. NCBI's taxonomy places the organism in Eukaryota, Metazoa, Chordata, Lepidosauria, Squamata, Lacertidae.
CUUCCAGUAGCACCUUAGAGAUCAACUAAGUUUGUUAUUGGUAUGAGCUUUCGUGUGCAUGUAUCAUACCAAUAACAAACUCAAUUGGUCUCUAAGGUGCUACUGGAAG